CCUACGGGUGGCUGCAGUGAGGAAUAUUGGUCCAUGGGCGCUAGCCUGAACCAGCCAAGUAGCGUGAAGGAUGACUGCCCUAUGGGUUGUAAACUUCUUUUAUAUGGGAAUCAAGUGCAGUAUGUAUACUGCUUUGCAUGUACCGUGCGAAUAAGGGCCGGCUAAUUCCGUACCAGCAGCCGCGGUAAUACGGGAGGCCCGAGCGUUAUCCGGAUUCAUUGGGCUUAAAGGGAGCGUAGGCGGGCGUUCAAGUCAGCUGUAAAAUCGCGCGGCUCAACCGCGCCCCGCAGUUGAAACUGGACGCCUUGAGGUCACAACAGGCAGGCGGAAUUCGUGGUGGAGCGGUGAAAGGCAUAGAUAUCACGAGGAACCCCGAUUGCGAAGGCAGCCUGCCGGGGUGCGACUGACGCUGAGGCUCGAAGGUGCGGGUAUCAAACAGGAGUAGAUACCCGGGUAGUC
RNAcentral lists this ribosomal RNA (459 nucleotides) under uncultured bacterium. RNAcentral describes it as "partial 16S ribosomal RNA". It matches the Rfam family "Bacterial small subunit ribosomal RNA", at positions 338 to 795 of the family's 1533-position model. The record is from RNAcentral.